Molecule: long non-coding RNA, 242 nt
Filed under: Gossypium barbadense (sea-island cotton)
Lineage: Eukaryota; Viridiplantae; Streptophyta; Magnoliopsida; Malvales; Malvaceae
Description: long non-coding RNA (GBAR_LNC017951)
Source: RNAcentral
UAACCAGAACAAAAAACAAAGAUUAAAGGACAAUAAAAAGAAUAAAGCUGGAGAAAGAGAGAAAUAUAUGGGUUUUAGUAUUUUACCAGUUUCUAAAUCCUAAUUUUGGUUUCAAUUUUUUUUUAUUGUCUUCUCAUUUCUUUUCUACCUAACAAGUUUGACAAAGUGAUUAGACAGAGGAAACAAACAAGAUGAAAAAGAAAAACACUCAACACAAAUAAGAAGAAAAAAGGAGCUUUCAG